This is a long non-coding RNA of Neofelis nebulosa (Clouded leopard), 1139 nucleotides long. RefSeq lists it as uncharacterized. NCBI's taxonomy places the organism in Eukaryota, Metazoa, Chordata, Mammalia, Carnivora, Felidae. The record is from RefSeq and is a predicted model, not a curated record. The transcript has 3 exons.
ACCUGGAGCCGGUGUGAAAGGCCAAGGCGGCAGGACCGUGGGUUCACAAGCGCCUCAGCCCUGCCGGCACGUCGUCAGAACACGCUCGAAGGAACGAGACCGCAGUCACCCACGCGCGCCCUGCACAGCUGCGCUCCUGCCCUCGGCCCCCGAGUUUCUGCCCCAGGGUUUGGACGACGCUGCUCUCCCCAUCAGCUGGUGGCGGUGGGGCCACAAGUCGGGGCUCUGGCUCCACUCUGUGCACGGCCUGCGUAUCUGAACUCACACAGCGAAAGCCGUGUGCGAUGACCCCACCCGCGGAGAGGACGUCUAGACCCCACACGGCGGUGUCCCCGCCCACAGCAAGUGGCUUCCUCCGCCAGACGGUGUGGCGUGUCAGGAUUCCAGAAGUUAGGAAUCUCAUCUAACCCAGAGCUGUUCAUCACUCUCUGGGGUCACAGCACCACGCUUUAAGGGCGUGUCUUACUGGACACGUAUCAUAACCACGUUCAAAUGCAACUUGGCGUGCCCUCUGGGGAACCUGAAAACUUAGGGCUCAAGGGCUCCCUGUUUCCCUCUGCCACUGAGCACCAGGCUCUCUCUCCAGCUCCUACUUCAGACUCACGACGUCCCUCCUCUCUGCUGCUCAGCCAGCUGGAUAUUUAAUGCAACAGAAAAAAAGCCAGCCAUUGGGACGAACUAAGGAGCUAAGGGAACAAGGAUGGCUGAGACACCAGAACUCGUCUUUUAAAAGAAGUCUGCGGUUAACGUGUGGACCGACACCAGUGGGUCUGAGUGGCAAAUCGCUGUCGUCAAGCACCAGUAUGAAGGCCCGCCCCGCGUGAGUCCGUGACAGACAUCAUCGUCGGUGUCGCUGUAUACGUCAUCGUAGCGGGACAGAGAAUUCGCUGGCAGAUGACACUGCCCUGCUCCCACGGGCCACACUCCCACAGCAGCGGGAAGCGAAUGGGAACCGCCACCGAGGCAGAGCAUAGGCGGCUCACACAGCCAGCCAGGCCCCCGGCGACCAGGACCCCGACGGGAGGACGCCACAGGGACGCAGAAAAGACAGGAGACCAAGUGAAGAACCAAGCCACUCGGUUUCCUUCACCAGAAAGAAAAAAAAAAAAAAAAUAGUUGAAAAAUAAAUAAAAAGCACU